Molecule: ribosomal RNA, 253 nt
Filed under: uncultured bacterium
Lineage: Bacteria
Description: partial 16S ribosomal RNA
Rfam family: Bacterial small subunit ribosomal RNA
Source: RNAcentral
UACGUAGGUGGCAAGCGUUGUCCGGAUUUACUGGGCGUAAAGAGCGCGCAGGCGGUCAGAUAAGUCGAAUGUGAAAGCCCCCGGCUCAACUGGGGAGGGUCAUUCGAUACUGCUCGACUCGAAGGCAGGAGAGGGAAGCGGAAUUCCCGGUGUAGUGGUGAAAUGCGUAGAUAUCGGGAGGAACACCAGUGGCGAAGGCGGCUUCCUGGCCUGUUCUUGACGCUGAGGCGCGAAAGCUAGGGGAGCAAACGGG